AGUGAACGCUGGCGGUAGGCCUAACACAUGCAAGUCGAACGGCAGCACAGUAAGAGCUUGCUCUUACGGGUGGCGAGUGGCGGACGGGUGAGGAAUACAUCGGAAUCUACUUUUUCGUGGGGGAUAACGUAGGGAAACUUACGCUAAUACCGCAUACGACCUACGGGUCAAAGCAGGGGAUCUUCGGACCUUGCGCGAUUGAAUGAGCCGAUGUCGGAUUAGCUAGUUGGCGGGGUAAAGGCCCACCAAGGCGACGAUCCGUAGCUGGUCUGAGAGGAUGAUCAGCCACACUGGAACUGAGACACGGUCCAGACUCCUACGGGAGGCAGCAGUGGGGAAUAUUGGACAAUGGGCGCAAGCCUGAUCCAGCCAUACCGCGUGGGUGAAGAAGGCCUUCGGGUUGUAAAGCCCUUUUGUUGGGAAAGAAAAGCAGCAGGUUAAUACCCCGCUGUUCUGACGGUACCCAAAGAAUAAGCACCGGCUAACUUCGCG
This 492-nucleotide ribosomal RNA is filed under the name uncultured bacterium. RNAcentral's name for it is "partial 16S ribosomal RNA". It matches the Rfam family "Bacterial small subunit ribosomal RNA", at positions 29 to 507 of the family's 1533-position model. The record is from RNAcentral.